UGAACACAUCCAGAGAUUAUCUAAAGUAGUGACUGCAAACCACAGAGCUCUGCAGAUCCCAGAGGUAAUGUGGGCUUGCGUGUAGGUGGGUGGUGGUGCACCUGGAGAGUUAGCACUUCAGCAGGGCCCCGGGGGCCCGAGACGGAAGCAAGCACUGUUUUCCCAGGCGUUCCCAGGGAACUUCCAAGAUGUAACUUCCUCUGUGUAGAGGACCAUGGUGGAGGAGUGGGGCGAGCCGGUCGUAGGGUACCCCUUAAAGUAGCUCUGCUCCCAAACCCAGCUUCUGCCCCAGCUCUGCCCUCCUGGGCAGUGUGCUGCCACUGCACACCUUUAGGCUGGGCUUCCAUUUCUGAUGCAAACAAGAACUGUUCCAGAAGAAACGCUCAGUCUGUGUGGCCUCAGGACAGGUGCUUUCUCGGCACAGUGCCAGCUCUGUGAGAUUUCUGUUUGCUAAAAAUUCCUUAUGAUGAAACAUUGAGCACUGCAGGGUUUUACAUUUUCUUUGGUAUGGGUUUUUUGUUGCUUGAUGUUUGUUUGUUUGUUUGUUUGUUUGAGACAGCUCCCCCUACACACACACACACACACACACACACACACACACACACACACACACACACACACACGAGCGCGCGCACAGGGUCUCUACCUCAAGAGUAGAGACAGAUUCUGUCCUCACUGACCUCAAUCUUGCUAUGUUGCCGACGCUGGCCUUAACCCCCUGACCCUCCUGCCUUGAUCCCCAAGUGCUAUGAUCCCAAGCUUUCGCCACCGUCCUGGGCUUUUGUUCCUGAGGAAACACUGCAGCAAAGACCAGUAGUGGUGUGUCCAUUGCCUUCUUGCUGCCGCUUGUCUGUGCUUUUGAACUCCACUAACUGGAAAGUCUCGUCCCAGCCUUGUAAGGGACUCACAGGGAGGUUGCGAGCUCCAGGCUCUGUGGCAGACCACCUCUGCCUCAUGGCUAGGCUGCUAUGUUUUGAGAUAGGGUUUAUCUUAGAUGGCCGGGAAGGAAGUGGUCCCGGUCAGUUUGCUGGGGUGGGUCCUGUGGCUGCUGUGGAGACUGCUGCUGGGUUCAUGAUGUGAUGUUGUCUGCCAUCCCGCUCAGGUCUAUCUUCGUGAGGCACCGUGGCCAUCUGCACAGUCAGAAAUCAGGACUAUUAGUGCUUACAAGACGCCCCGGGACAAAGUGCAGUGCAUCCUGAGAAUGUGCUCCACUAUCAUGAACCUCCUGAGUCUGGCCAAUGAGGACUCUGUCCCCGGGGCAGAUGACUUUGUCCCCGUGUUGGUGUUUGUGUUGAUAAAG
This 1300-nucleotide long non-coding RNA is filed under the name Rattus norvegicus (Norway rat). Its description in RNAcentral is "long non-coding RNA NONRATT019211". The record is from RNAcentral. Lineage: Eukaryota; Metazoa; Chordata; Mammalia; Rodentia; Muridae.